Molecule: non-coding RNA, 135 nt
Organism: Triticum aestivum (bread wheat)
Lineage: Eukaryota; Viridiplantae; Streptophyta; Magnoliopsida; Poales; Poaceae
Source: Rfam
GAUCUACUCCCUCCGUCCGGAAAUACUUGUCAUCAAAAUGAAUAAAAGGGGAUGUAUCUAGAUGUAUAUUAGUUCUAGAUACAUCCCUUUUUGUCCAUUUUGAUGAAAAGUAUUUUUGGACGGAGGGAGUACUAU